This is a non-coding RNA of Erinaceus europaeus (western European hedgehog), 120 nucleotides long. The record is from Rfam. NCBI's taxonomy places the organism in Eukaryota, Metazoa, Chordata, Mammalia, Eulipotyphla, Erinaceidae.
CCUGUCCCGGAAGGAGUUAGAGGUGUGGCUGCCGUGCCACAUGUGUGUCCUUAGGUGGAAGAAAAGACUUGUCUCCACCCAGUGUUCUCACCUGCAAACAACUGACAUCUAACAAAGCGC